GAGGGUAUACCUCAGUGGUAGAGCACGUGCUUAACAUAUGCAAGGUCCUGGGUUCAAUCCCCAGUACCUUCA
This 72-nucleotide transfer RNA is filed under the name Camelus bactrianus (Bactrian camel). It matches the Rfam family "tRNA". Rfam says of the family: Transfer RNA (tRNA) molecules are approximately 80 nucleotides in length. The record is from Rfam by way of RNAcentral. Lineage: Eukaryota; Metazoa; Chordata; Mammalia; Artiodactyla; Camelidae. RNAcentral also lists the same sequence under 2 other names.